This 430-nucleotide long non-coding RNA is filed under the name Callithrix jacchus (white-tufted-ear marmoset). RNAcentral describes it as "lncRNA (ENSCJAG00000084367.1)". Lineage: Eukaryota; Metazoa; Chordata; Mammalia; Primates; Cebidae. The record is from RNAcentral.
CCUACAGCAGCCCAUUUUGACAUUAGAAGAAACAGCAAAUCAACCUCAUUUGAGAGGGUUCUGCCUCUGGUCUGGUGAAGUAGCUCCGUUUGAGCCAACCCACAAGAGUCAACAUUCAGAAGACUCCAGCCAGCAACCAUCUUGACAUCAAUAAAAACAGUGCAAGCAGGCAGAACCUUAAAUAAAGGGAGCUGGAGAGAGAGUUACUUUUGAAUGAGAAGGGAUAUGAUGAAAAUAAGGAGUAAAUUAAGUAAAGAAUUCAUUCAUUCCUCCUGAGCCCCUUUUUUCAGUUAAAAAAAGAAGAUUCAUUGUGGCAGAUUAUAUUUGGCCACAACAAUAUCUCUCAUCACACACACUUCUUUAAAUAAUGUGACCUUAUCAUGUACUCAUCAAUAGGUGGACUCUAAGUCACCUCCUCUGGAAUGUGGAA